UUUUUUUUUUUAAAAUACCAAACUUUGAUGUUGUUACUCUGAUCAGAAGUCAAAGGAUGCUGUGGUUAGGGGAUAUAUCUUUUUACUCCCCCCCUUCUUUUGGGCUCAAGCUAUCUACCAUCCUUCAACAUAAUGAUCAUACAUAAGAAAAGUCAUAUAGGGAAAUGAGAAUGAAUUGGUUACCUAGUUGGGGGAUACUGAAGUCUUUCUUCAGUCCUAUCUAAAUGGUGAACUGAACCUUUGUGAAGUUACCAUAUCUUUCGCUAGACUUGGUUUCAGAUCACCAUGUCUUAGAUACUCAUAAUAAAUUUGUUGUUAUUUCAUCUAUCAUCCUUACAGGUGUCAAACGAAUUCUACUUUACAUUAACUAGACAUCCUCAGUCCUUGAAUGAUGGAUUUGAGGAUUCGGAAGUCCCAUCCAUGGAAGAAGAGGUAUGGCAUGUCCUUGAACGUAUGGAUGUUGAGAGUUGUCGGACUUCAUCUGAAUACACUUUUCCAGUGACUGAAGCGAAUGGCGAUGCUUACUUGCAGGUUGAAUGAUAACUAGUGGGGGACUAUAAUUGAUACUCAAAAAGCAGGACAACAUUGCCAAGCAAAAGAGGAACUCGGGGACAUCAGUCUAGUCAGGAACUUAAACGGAUGUCUUAACUCACCAAACAUGUAUAGGCAUAGCGAAGUCCAAUUAUUUACUAUUUCUGAGAAAGUCUCACUGCACGAUGAGAUGAACCAAAGAUUAGAAGAUGCCACGUAAAAUGAUGUUGAGAAAUAAGAGCUCCUGCCAAGUGAAGUCUCACAAGGUCAUGGGACUAAACAUGUCACUGAUUCAUACUGAUGGAUGGUGACAGAAAUUUGUGACCUUCCACAUCUGCUGGUCAAGGGACUACACGCUUGCCAUUGCAUCGAGAAUUGACAGAGUUCUCAUGAUAAGGCUUCUUUAUGGUUGAAUUCUUUGGAGAAGUUUGCUUGUGAAACAUGCUUGGAAGCAAUUGGUAAGUCGGCAUCCUUCAUAAGAUAAUCCAUCAAUGUUUCAGAUUUAGACUGGUCAAUAAUCUGGGGUCGGAACUUGGGAGUUGAUUGAAAUCGGAUCUAGUUGCAUUUAUUAACAAUCUAUUUGAGACAAUUCCCUGUUGAACUGCUUAUGCUUACCAUAUUUCUAUCCUUUAAUGAUUGAAAAUGGAAAAGGUUAGAAUAGAGUAUUCUUGCAAGCAUUUCCAAGAAUUUUUCUGUUGAAACCCGGCUCACCCGGCCUUCAUUUUUAUUUCUCCUUAAUAAGUUUCCAAUCA
Eucalyptus grandis is the source of this 1283-nucleotide long non-coding RNA. RefSeq lists it as uncharacterized. The transcript has 2 exons. The record is from RefSeq and is a predicted model, not a curated record. Lineage: Eukaryota; Viridiplantae; Streptophyta; Magnoliopsida; Myrtales; Myrtaceae.